This 300-nucleotide ribosomal RNA is filed under the name uncultured Actinomycetales bacterium. RNAcentral's name for it is "bacterial SSU rRNA". It matches the Rfam family "Bacterial small subunit ribosomal RNA", at positions 116 to 413 of the family's 1533-position model. Lineage: Bacteria; Bacillati; Actinomycetota; Actinomycetes; Actinomycetales. The record is from RNAcentral.
CGUGGGCAACCUACCCCUCACACUGGGAGUAACCUCGGGAAACCGGGGACCUAAUACCAGAUACUCACGUCCUCAGGCAUCUGAGGACGUGGAAAGGAAUUCUGGUGAGGGAUGGGCCCGCGGCCUAUCAGCUAGUUGGUGGGGUAAUGGCCUACCAAGGCGACGACGGGUAGCCGGCCUGAGAGGGCGACCGGCCACACUGGGACUGAGACACGGCCCAGACUCCUACGGGAGGCUGCAGUGGGGAAUAUUGCGCAAUGGACGAAAGUCUGACGCAGCAACGCCGCGUGAGGGAUGAAG